Molecule: non-coding RNA, 1439 nt
Organism: Elaeis guineensis (African oil palm)
Lineage: Eukaryota; Viridiplantae; Streptophyta; Magnoliopsida; Arecales; Arecaceae
Source: RefSeq, a predicted model, not a curated record
UAUUACUGUAGUGCUUUUCGUAACAUUUUUCUUUAAUAUCAUAUUUUUUUAUAAAAAAGGUAAAACUUUUAUACAUUUAUAUCUGAUUGUCAGUAAUAAAAAUAGGUUGAUAAAGGGAGUUUAAGCCCUUGCUACUGCCAUAACAUGAUUUUUUUAUUUUUUUAAUUUUUAAUAUCGAUGGCCUUAUAUUGGGUGUAAUAUCAGAUUGUGCUUAAUUGUAUCAAUUUUUUUUCAUAAACGCUCUCAUUAAAAUGUUUAAACCAGCAUGUGGCAAAGGCAUCUAAGAGCUUGUUGGCCAUGGCAGUUGGAAUAAAACAAAAAACAGUUGUGGAUCAAAUUGUUGAGAAGUUUUUCUCCAGCAAUUUUACUAUAAUGCUUUUCCAUUAUGAUGAUGUGGUGGAUGAGUGGAGAGACUUACAAUGGAGUGAUAGUGCCUUACAUGUCUCUGCAAUCAAUCAAACAAAAUAUUAUAUAUCAAUGAUUGGGAAGGAAGGGUUAGAGACAUCACAACCUGUAUCGGACGUCGCUAAAUUAGAGGUGCAUCAUCAAAUCACUGCACGUGGGAGGCAAGAAGAUGUGCAAAGGUCUGGUCUUAGUAAUUAUUAGGAGCUGUUCAUUUUCACUGUUGGCUUAUACUUGUGUUUUCAAUAAAUCACUCUAUAUUACUGAUGCCUAUUUUUAGUCAUUUUACUAAUGCCUAAUGCUCAUUGGAAUACACAAUGGAUUCAUGGACAAUGCAACACCACUCUUUUCCCUUUCAUAUCUCAACCUCCAAGUCCAGAUAAAGCAUUGUAUUUUACAAGUUCAGAUGUUCCGGUGUCCUGACAAUAAGUUGCUGUUGGAUAUCCUGGACAUCAUUGGAAGCAAAGGAGGAAUUUGCAGUUGAAAUCUCUAAAAAUGUUUUCUGCUUAUUUAACUUGUACAAUUUGCAGAUCAUCUGAAAUGAUUUACUAAGUUUCAGAUAUUUUAUCCUAAAUACACACAAAUGCAAUAGUGGGAUUGAUGCAUGUACCUGCACAUGCCAUUAAUAUGUGAUGUGAGCACAUUUUACAUCUAGUGAGGCAGUCUCAGUUGAUUGGAGUAGAUGGGGUUUGUUAUUAUGUAUUGUUGGUUUUCUCAAGCUUCAUCUGCUGCUUAACAGGCUUCAAAUUAGAUCGUGGGAGGUCUUUCAGUGCUUCAGGAUCCAAAAUAUCUUUCAGUUCCUUCUAACUGUUGCUGUCCUUUGUAUAUCUAUUUAUUAGAAGAGUUGCAAGGCACUGCUAGCUUUUUGUAACUUCAUAUUCAUCCAUCUUAUUUGUUGUUUGUGUAGAGAGGCAGAUCACCUGCCACCUCUCACUCCUCUUUAUGCCUUGUUUUGGAGUUAUAUUUUGGUGGAUCAUAUCUCUAUCUGUAAUUUUGAGAUCUUGUAUUAUCCCUAUUUUAAUUUAGCUUAGUUACUC